CUUUUAUUAUGUUGGUGUAUAUCUGGUUUGAUAUUAUUGCUUAAUAGCUUAAUUUGUGUAUUUGUUAUUUAAGCCAAGUCUAUGUGCUGCUUGUAAAAGGUUUCAUGCGUUACAUUUAUAAGUUUGGUUAUGUAAUUAACUUUGUAAAUUGAGGACUUAAAAGUAAUGUAGAAUAAGUUUGUUUACAUGAAAAGGGUUUA
This 200-nucleotide ribosomal RNA is filed under the name unidentified. RNAcentral's name for it is "Mesocestoides sp. NED 195/2002 partial small subunit ribosomal RNA". The record is from RNAcentral.